CCCACCGCGCCUCCGCGGUCCACGUGGGUGACCUCGAGCCCGCCACGGCCAGGGGCGGGGGCCCAAGUUGGGCGUUCGCCGAGACAGCAGGCAGCGGCUGCAGGGCGCAGAGCACGUGAGGGAAGGGGAAGCCGCCCAGCCCACUCCAGCCUGCGUAGGCGGCGCGCCGCGCCCUCAGGGUUUUGGUCCCAGAGUUUGGAGAAAGGAAAUUCCGCACCCUGUUUAUGGCCUUGGAGGUCGCUGUAUUAAAAGAACACGGGUGGGGGACAAACAGUGGCCCACACAACAGGAAUGCAAAUAUUUGCCACCAAAUUUCCAGUGCUCCCAAGACUGGUGUUUUGGUGUGGAACCUCUUUCCUCUGGCCUGGACUGCUGCAGGGGACACCUUACUGGCCUCCACCUCGUCCUCCACAUUGCUGCCGGAAUCAAUUUCUGAGAAAGUUCAGUCACAAUGUUCUCCUGCUCAAAAUCUUCUGGGGCUCCUACUGGCUUGGUUCUUUUUGGAAGAUCAGGCCCCCUUUUGAGAAUUACAGGGGCACAAUCGACCCUGACUCCAGGGAGGAAAAAAACGUACACACCACCUGCAGCUCACCCCCACCCCCAGGACUGCACAGGGGCCCCUCAGCCUGUGCUGGUUCUCACAGCUAGCCCUGCCCUCCGCCAGCCUCACCUCUUUCUGUCUGCUUUUCAGACCCUCCUGCUUCAGCCAUAUUGAAUUAUUUGCCAUCUCCCACACAUUUCCUGCUGUUCCCUGCUGGUGUGCUUGGCUUCUGCUGUUCCCUCUGCCUGGAGUGCCUCCCCAGUUUCAGCCACCUGACAAGCUAUUCUCUGGUGUACUAAGCUGAAGCAUCGUCUCUUUCGCAGUCUUCCCAAACCACAUAGUCAGUCAGACACGGGCACUCCUGCUUUCCUUACUUCAUCCUCAAACCUGCAGUCCCGUGCUUUCUUGUCUGCGACUGCAAGCUUCCCAAGAGACCCUGUGUUCCUUGAAGGCAGGAACUGGGCUUUUCAAAUCUGUAGCCUCGUCUGCAGCAAGGGGCCUAAUCUUAUAAGAAAAUGUUAUUUUCAAUUACCAAUGACAGACAGUAUUAUAGUACUUCCAGGCGAACAGCAUAGGGAUUAGAGACAGUUAUAUACCUUAGGAAGUGAUCGCCCAGUACAGGACCUAUUUUAAUUAAUUAGGGCUGAGUCGUAGAACGGAGGACCAGCCCAUGUGCCACCACGUCUUUCACGAUCAUUCUCCGAGAGCACCCAUCACGUCUACAGGUAAUCCCGCAACGGGAAAGACUAUGUCCUAAACCUUAGCCCUUCCAAACAGCGCCUGCACAACUGUUCCUGUAUCUACCACCCACAGCCAUAAUUAAUUGUAACCUAAUCACUAUUUGAACUUCAAUAAUGCCUCAUUAUAAGCUAUAAUUGUAAAAUUAUGUAUUGUGCUAAUUAUGUAUGUUUUCCUCAGAUGCAAAU
Molecule: long non-coding RNA, 1467 nt
Organism: Phyllostomus hastatus (greater spear-nosed bat)
Lineage: Eukaryota; Metazoa; Chordata; Mammalia; Chiroptera; Phyllostomidae
Exons: 3
Source: RefSeq, a predicted model, not a curated record